ACGAACGCUUGCGGCGUGCUUCACACCUGCCAGUCGCACGGAAAGGCCCUGCUUUUGUGGGGUGCUCGAGUGGCGAACGGGUGAGUAACACGUGAGUAACCUGCCCUUGACUUUGGGAUAACUUCAGGAAACUGGGGCUAAUACCGGAUAGGAGCUCCUGCUGCAUGGUGGGGGUUGGAAAGUUUCGGCGGUUGGGGAUGGACUCGCGGCUUAUCAGCUUGUUGGUGGGGUAGUGGCUUACCAAGGCUUUGACGGGUAGCCGGCCUGAGAGGGUGACCGGCCACAUUGGGACUGAGAUACGGCCCAGACUCCUACGGGAGGCAGCAGUGGGGAAUAUUGCACAAUGGGCGGAAGCCUGAUGCAGCAACGCCGCGUGCGGGAUGACGGCCUUCGGGUUGUAAACCGCUUUCGCCUGUGACGAAGCGUGAGUGACGGUAAUGGGUAAAGAAGCACCGGCUAACUACGUG
This 467-nucleotide ribosomal RNA is filed under the name uncultured bacterium. RNAcentral describes it as "partial 16S ribosomal RNA". It matches the Rfam family "Bacterial small subunit ribosomal RNA", at positions 29 to 507 of the family's 1533-position model. The record is from RNAcentral.